UGUUCACUUUAGGGGUGUUCCGGCUAAAAACCGGAACUGAGAUGAUACCCUCAGUACCUGAUGCAGUUCACACUGACGUAGGGAAAAGUAUACUGAACCUU
Molecule: non-coding RNA, 101 nt
Filed under: Chitinophaga niabensis
Lineage: Bacteria; Pseudomonadati; Bacteroidota; Chitinophagia; Chitinophagales; Chitinophagaceae
Description: TPP sequence
Rfam family: TPP riboswitch aptamer (THI element)
About the family: Vitamin B(1) in its active form thiamin pyrophosphate (TPP) is an essential coenzyme that is synthesised by coupling of pyrimidine and thiazole moieties in bacteria. The previously detected thiamin-regulatory element, thi box was extended, resulting in a new, highly conserved RNA secondary structure, the THI element, which is widely distributed in eubacteria and also occurs in some archaea.
Source: Rfam by way of RNAcentral